RNAcentral lists this ribosomal RNA (248 nucleotides) under Triticum aestivum (bread wheat). RNAcentral's name for it is "partial small subunit ribosomal RNA". The record is from RNAcentral. Lineage: Eukaryota; Viridiplantae; Streptophyta; Magnoliopsida; Poales; Poaceae.
CUCUCUGCUCUCGAUCUAGAGAACACAGCCACCACCUCGCCUGUCGGCCAUGCCCUCGCCGACCACCACCUCUCCUGCCGGCUCCGGCCUCGCCGGCCAGCACAUCGACCGCCCGCCGUCCUCGGGCCUUCCCUCUUGGCCUCCAGGUCCAGCGGCCCCGUUCCCCUUGGCCCUCGCCGACCGCCGGCCUGGCGCCAUCACCACGGUCAACCUCCACGCCCCGUUCCCCGUCGCCCCAGCCGGCCGCC